RNAcentral lists this ribosomal RNA (253 nucleotides) under uncultured bacterium. RNAcentral describes it as "partial 16S ribosomal RNA". It matches the Rfam family "Bacterial small subunit ribosomal RNA", at positions 524 to 776 of the family's 1533-position model. The record is from RNAcentral.
UACGUAGGGGGCGAGCGUUGUCCGGAUUUAUUGGGCGUAAAGGGCGCGUAGGUGGCGCCGCAAGUCCAUGGUGAAAGCUCGAUGCUCAACAUCGAGUCGGCCACGGAGACUGCGGGGCUCGAGCACUGUAGGGGCAGAUGGAAUUCCGGGUGUAGCGGUGGAAUGCGUAGAGAUCCGGAAGAACACCGGUGGCGAAGGCGGUCUGCUGGGCAGUUGCUGACACUGAGGCGCGACAGCGUGGGGAGCAAACAGG